GUGAUGUUGACUUAAAAUUGUAGUCAACAAUUACAAGUGUAACAUUUAGGAGGCUUCUACAGAGUAUCCAGUCGAAGGUAUUUCAAAAUAAACGNUUUUAAAUUUGAUGAAUUAAGACACAAACAAAAAAUAACUUGGAAUCAAAUACAAUACAUCAUGGAAAUUUCUCAGAAUGAGAAAAUAUUUAAUGUAAUCAAUGAAGGAUUAAACAAAAAAGGCUCUACAUAUAAUGUAGGUAUCACGGGAACGAAAAGUGACAAAUUAAGUUUAGUCAAACAAAACCUUGCAAAUUAAGUUUAGUCAAACAAAACCUUGACAGUGUGAGAUCACGGUUUAUGGACAGAACCUUUGGUUAUAUACUGAAGCAAAUGUAUUACUAUUAUACAUUCGCGAUCCUGCUGAUAAAUGAUAAGGCUUAUGGUAUCUCGGAUGAACAAAUUAUUAGAAUAAUUAAAUUGCAUUCAAAUCAACAAUACUGUAUUUUUACGUUUCUGCACGAUUACGGCAAAUAUGAUGUCGAAAAUGCACUAGAAACAAUGAUGUAUUUAAAAUUGUUUACUGAAACUAAUCUCGAAUUAAUACAGACAAAUUUAAAGCGUUUAGUAAAUAAUAUUGAAUCAUAUAAACUCGAAGAAAAUAUUAGACACCCGAUGUAUGGUGAAGUGCAGGAUUUUAAUGGCAGUAUACGCGACCUUGAAGUUGGCUAUGAUGAAUUAUUGCAUAAUAUCAAAGAAGACAUUUAUCUUAGCUCAAAUCUGUUUUGUGAUGUAACGGGUUCUCAGCUUAUCAGUGAUGAUAUGUUCAGUAAAACAAAUUUUAAAACUGAUAAUUUUAUGCAUUACGUAUUUGUGUCCGAAGAAUGUAACGUGAAAGUAAGUUUUUUUUUAAUGUCUUUAAUUGAUUAUAAUUCAAAUUUCUAAUUUUAAUUAUUAUACAGAAAAUUACUGUUUAUAAAAAAUUAGAUCAUAUGUUAACAUAUAUUUGUAUUUAAUUUUCUUAGUUUGUGAAUGCUAAUAGUGAUAGUGAACUCCAUUCGGAAAAACAUCAUAUCGAAUCGUGGGAUUGUAGUAGCAUUUUGGUAAGUUCAACAUUUUUAUUAUGUAAAUUUGCAUUAUAGAUUUUAUACAAAACAAACACAUUUUUCUUAUAUCUUAUUUCUAUAUGCAAUUUAUUAACUGUAUUUGCCAUCGGGUAUUCUAUUUUGAGCAGUAAAUCAGAUAAAUGAUUCGUUAUACUUUUACUUAGCAAUAAUGUGUUAAUGAGAUUUGUACGUUUUAUUAUCAAGAAACUCGAGUAAAGAAUAUAUCACGACUCAUAUUUGUCUAGAGAAAUUUCAAGAGCAAAAUUAUGAAUUAUCAAGGUUUAAACAUGUAUUUGUAUUAUAAGGAAAAUUAAUUUUAAUUUUAAUUUUAUUUGCAAUGAUUAAUGAAACUAUUCGGUUUUGUAUUGUUUUAUGUUUAAGGUUUGAUAAUAUAUAUACAUAAAAUAGCUAAUGAUAAUAUUCCUUUUCUGUUUUAAAAAUAAAUAUUCUUUAAACGAUAUAAAUUAUAUUUAUUAGUUUUAGAUUCUGAGCUAAAUGAUUUAUGUAUUAGUUUUAUAAUGAUGAUUAUAUUUUUAUUUUUUUUUCUGUGUACACAAUUUUUAACAGAAUUCUAACUCUAAUGUAUCAAGUGUGGCAUAUAUUUUAAAAGAAAUUUGUAUCUAGCUGAUACUUUAGCAAGAGCAUUUUUUUAUUUGAUUUUCUCAGUGGUUUUCAUAAUAAUAUGAAAAAAACGUAGCAAAACCGUUGGAAAAAUGCAUGGAUAAACAGACAAAUAUUUAGAGUACGGCGAAACGAAUUCAUGAUUUUAUAUUUUUUUAAUUUAUAUUUUCUACCAGAAACCUGGCUUUAAAAAAAUGUUAUAAGAAAUCCUCAGUAUAAAAUAUUCAAGGAAACUUUAAAUUUUGACAGAAAAUGUAUAUUUAAUUUUUUUAAACGUAGUCAAAUUUUUAAAAAUUUGACUUUUUUGAGCUAUUUGUAGAAAUUUGUUUUUCACGUAAUUUUCAUUCGAUCGGUACUUCUCUAUAAUUCUUACUAUUUAUACAAUAAAAAAAAAAAAAAUAAUAAAUAAAACAAUAUUGACUGUAAUAUUUUAAUAUCAAAUUUUGUUGAGAAUCUUAAAUACGUUUUAAGGCCUUUAAAAAUUUGUGUAACAGAACUUCGCUCAGAAUUAUUUUGCGUUUCAAAUUAUUUAUUUUUGCCUAUUGAUAUACAUUCAAAUUCCCUGCUACCUUCUCAACUUCUUUUCCACAACAGAGACCCACCCAUUGUGCAAAGUAUGUCCGUCUUUUAUAUUAUUUAUUUAAAAAAAUUAUAGGAAUAACAUGCAUUCACACUUAUAAUUACAUUGUAUUGCGUUGUAUUGUAUUUUUUUUUUUUAGGGAUCCGAAGAAUACGGAUAUAAGGUCCAAACAAAUAAUGUAAAUAUUCUAUUAUUUGAUAUUUAUUAAUCGUAUUACUUUAUAUGUUUACAAUUUAUAUUUAAUUAAUUAAAACAACUCUAAUAUCAUUUAACCAUAGAUAUUACAAUAAAAUCCAAAAUAAUUCAAAUUUUUUAUAUAAAAUAAUAGGAGUCCUAAAGUGUAUUUCCCCUAAUCGGUAUAGAUUUUUCAUAGUAAAUUUACUUAAAUUUUCCAUUGGUCCAUACCGGAUCCGAGGUGAAAUUCAUCGGAUUUAAGCAAAAUAUUGUCAUAUUGGUUUUUAUAUGUGCCGAAUCCCCGGGUCUGAUCCGGAGGUUCGGGUCGAAAAAUAUUGCGCUAGACAAUUCCCUCCCAGUGUUCCUGGAAGGAUUUACUCCAUUCCUGAUAUUUCGUGGUCAGUGUAAAUGAUGAACAUGUUGGUGUCCGAGAUUUAUCAUUUGUCAUUCAUCAUAAUUUAACAUAUUCGAAAAUCUGUUGGUCAGGAAAACAUUGUUUUGAAUAAAAGAAUUCUGAAACACUGAUAGAAUUGGACAGCCUUAUGAUUUAAGUAGGUAAUUGAAAGUAUAUAGCGAUGAACCGCGGAAAGUAUUCAGUUGUAAAGAAUUAGUUAUUAUUUUAUGAGUACCCACUAUACAAGAGAAACACGCGGUAUGUCUAUUGGCUAACUAAUGAUCAUCAUCAUUCAUAUAGAGUACUGGUGUCUGCAGGACAAGUAUGAAGUUCAGAGCUUGGAACCGAUGUUUUAACCGGAACAUUUUGAAAAUGUUAGAACCGGUACGUAACCGAAAAAAUUUUUUGAUUUUCAUAGGAACCCUAAUCCAAACCGGAACAGAUGUUUGUUAGAAAAAAAUUUUUACUUUUUUUGUCGGUUAUGAUUUUAUCUGACUAUUCUUUCUAUUUAGGUAGUACAUCUACAUGUACCCAUUUAGAUGUACUACAAAUAAUAAAAUUGAUUCAUUAAAUUUGGUUGAUGUUGUCAACGUUUACAUGUACUUGAAAUUCUAUAAUUCUAUAAUCUAUCAGUUAUUAGAGUAGUAAUCAAAAUAUAAAUAUAUAAAAUAAAUAAUAAAUAUUGUCAUUCGCCCGUCGGUAUGUAAGACCUGUCGUCGUAAUUAUUUUCUUAUAUUUAUAUAAUUGUAUAAUUGUAUAGUUUAUAAAUAGUUUUGGAUGACGACCGCUGGUUAUGUUUAUGUGUAACAAAAUGAUAAUCAAAACGAUUAAAAUAAUAUAAAUUGUUAUUGGGUUGUGAGUUAAACUAAUAAAAUAAUAUACUCUUAUACUUCCACCUAUAUUUAUGUACGCAAUAUUCAAAUACACAUUAAAUAUAAUAUAAUAACACGCUUAAUAGUUCCUGAACAGUUUUCACAAAUAUAUACACAUAAUAAAUUGCCGACUAGUGUAGUCUAUACUUAUAAAACGAUGACUCCAACAAAAUAACCGUCAAUCGUUAUCUAAGAGGUGUCUGAUUACAAUUUAGGAUACGAAAAGUGAUAAGAUACUAUUUUGGAGGGCCGUAAUAUUUUCAAUUCUGUUGGUACCUAAGUUUAAAUUGUAUUGUUUAAAUUACUAAAGCAAUUGGUAUUUUUUUUUAAUUAUUACAUUUCGAUAGAAAUUAUAUCCCCACAUGUUUUGGUAUUUCGUUUAAAAUAAAUAAUCCUAUGUCCCAUAUACUUUAUCUUUAAGAACACGGACAAAAUAAUUUAUGAUGAUUUCUCUUGCAUAAAAACAUUCAUGAAAACUUAACUGCAUCAAAAACUAAAACGAAGCCAGUAUAAUUCACGAGUAACCUGUCCUAUUUAAUUUUUAUGUCGUGAUUUUGGAUAGGUGUACAAAAAAUUAGACUGACCGACAAUUAAGUCUAAUUGUACCAUUAUUUGUAAGUUGUUGUAAAACAUAGAUUUCCGAAAAGAAAAUUGUUCGAAAAAUCACUUGGGAGUUUAAUUGCACAAUACCCAAAACUUCUUAAAAUGUUGGUUAAAAUAAUAAUUAUUUUUUAAAGUUUAAAUUAAAUUUAUAAUUAUAUAUUAUGCUUACCGGUUGUUUUUGAAAGUAUUUCUCUAAAUCACGAUGCGUUGAAUAUUUAAUUUCAAAUAAUUCAUACAAAAUUGAAAGUGUAACGAUUUUUAAAAUAACAGAGAUAAUGUGUGCUUUAUCUUAUAUUGAUCACUUUAUAUAUAUCCAAUAUUUUAAACUUUUUAUGAUACCUAAAAACAACAGAUAUUUGUCCAUGGUGCGAAUUAUAUCGAUUUUUAUGUUUCCUAAAUUAAAUUUGUUAUUCACACCAACAAUUAUUAUACUCUUUUAUUCCGACUGUACCUGUAAUUAUGUAGUAUCUAUGAAACUAUAUUGAAACGAAGGUCGCAGAUGUAUCACACAUUUAAAUAUAUUUUUGCUGAUAUAUUAUAAUACAAGACAAAGGAAUGACAGUAUAGUUUAUGCCUAUCUAAAAUAGAUUAUCAAGAAUUAUAAUAUGGUGAACUCAAAAAUUGUUCAUAAGACAAUUUAAUUAUAAACUAAAUAUAAUAUUAUGUAUAAGACAAUCCACCUGAAACUUAAUUUACAAAAAGUCAAAUUUUAAUUAAUUGUUAUCAUUUUUCAAGCGUCGGAGUGAAGAUUUGUUAAAAAUAUUUUUUUCGGUAAUGUACCUACCAUACAUAAUUAUACUUUAUAUACAUAACAUAUAAUAAUUUUACCAUCUAGCUUUAUCUAUUUCUAUAUUUUGUGUUAUUUUGAACUGAUUUGAACCAAAAGAUUGAUAAUUUACUUGAUAAUUAGUAUAUAGGCCAUAGAAAUUUAUUCACUAAUUAUUCCGUCAACUAUGAACAAAUUUUCGAAUGAUAUUUUAUUUUUUCAUUCAAUAUUCUUUUAAGACAGUCCCAUAGUCAUUUGAUCAAAAUUUGAUUAUAAAGUUCGGUGAUACGACUAGUUCAAAAUAUUACCAAUCGUCAAUACUUAAUAUUAUACCUAUUUAUUGUGUAUAAUUAAUAGGUAGGAUGAAGAGAUUGCGUAUGAUGUACCUCAACAUAACAAAAUAACAGACUUAAAAUACACGAUAACUAAAAAAAUGUACAGUAGUUCCAAGGGUUUUUUAAAAAUUGAUUUGUAUUAAAAUUUCGGUACCACAUUAAUAUAAAAAAAAUAGCCAUUUAUCACUAAAUGGGGUCCUAAAUAUUCGGCAUCCCUUAAAUGAAUAGGUAGAAGGGAUACGUAGAAUGGGAAAAAAAUCUUAAAACUACUGUAAUUAACUUUUAAGAAAUUUGUAUGUUUUUGUUCGAUAAUAAAUUUUUGAAAUUUUAAAAAAAAAAUAAAAAAAUUUACAAUAAUUGAGUUUUAGAUUCAAAAUAUAGCAAAGGUUUUAUUGGUUUUAUUGUGUAUUUUUUUAAUUUUUUAUUUUUGUUAGUUUUGAUGUACAAUUUUGAACAGAGAAUUUGUUCAAAUCGAAAAAAAAAAUCACGUAUCAUAGUAAAACCAACACAUUCCUCACCAUGCACUGAAUCUUAAAUAUUUUUUAAAAUAUAAUAUAAUAUUAUAACUAAAUGUAUUGUAUCCCUUCUAUUAAUAUUUUAUUAAUUUAUAUCAUUGUUUUGGAGUUAACUAAUAAUUACAAAAUGUUACACAAUGUCAAUAUAUUAUUUAUAAUAAAUUUGGCACCCCCCAAUCAUACACACUUUUAUAUUUAUAAUUUUUCCGUACACCAUAUAACGAGAAGAACUGACACAUGAAAAAAUUGUUUGUUUGUUCAAUAAAAUUAAGUGUUUUUUUCUAGUUAUAAUUACUAGAGCUGUACACUAUGAUUUCUUUGUUUUGUUUUUUUUUUUUAAACUAAACAAAUUGUUUAUGCAAUUGUCAAGAUAAGAAAAAAAUUAAUAAUUUGAUUUAAUUAUAAAAUCUUAAAUAAAAAACAAAAAAUUUAAAAUAGUUAUAAAUAUGCUUUAUCACUUAAGCCUCUUGUAAAACACUUUUCUACAGAUGAGCACAUUUCUUCUAGCAAUCACUCUUUUGUCCUCUCUUCUAUCCUCUUUUUCCAUUUUUAUACUUUCUUUUUGCGUCUAUGAGUUCUACUAUGUUUGUACUAAUCAAUGGCUUUAUAGGGCUGUUCUUAAUUUUCUCUAAAAUCUUAUAAGCUGUUUUUGUUAUUGUUUCUUUAAGAACUUUCUAUGUAUCCUCAUAAAUUUCCGGUUUUUCUCAUUAAGACAUACUCUUGUCGCCAUAACUACAAGAUAAUAAUUCAAAUUAUUAAGUCUAUGUCUACCCCCGAAAAGCUUUUAUUUUACUUAACUUGAUUUCUUUAUUUUUUUCUAAUUAGUAUAUAAUCCAAUUGAUACCAAUUACCUGCUUAUAUAAGUUUAUCACCUCUUUGGUUUCUUAGUGCGACUUCAAACUUUCCUGUUACUCCUGGUUCAGUCCCUUCGCCUACAACCACACUCCAAUAUACUAAAAUAAUUAUAUUGUCUCUUUCCUUUGCCAUUUCUAUUAUUUCUAAAACUAGUUCGUACAUUUCUUCGAAAUCUUCGUCUUUAUGAUUAGAAGUUGGCAUGUAAAUCUGUUUAAUAAAUGUGUCUGUUUGUUUAGUUUUUACUUCGAUAUAUCCAAUUCUAUCAUUGAAGUGGAUAGUACUCUAGAUUUUAUGGCCAAAUUCUUUAUUUUCAAUUAGUUCCAGUCUGUUAAUUUUGUUCUCAUCGCCAUCAAAUAUUUCUCUGUAAUCUCCCGACUAGUAAUCUAGUCCAGUCCAUUUUAUUUCAUUAAUACCUAGAACAUAAAUUGUAUAACUUUCUAUUUAUAACUUCAAAUUUUAAAAUUUUUCAUAUACUCCUAGUGAUCUGACAUUCCACAUCACCAUUUGCCUCUUCGUUAGACCUUUUGACGAACAUCUGAACGGGGGACAUAUUUACCUCUGGAUAUUUUUAUAUCUACAAUCGUCAUUUCAUCAUUAUCACUAUUACAUAACAAUUAAAUAGUAUUAUAUUGUUCGAUUUGAAUUUUGUAACGAGAAUUAAAAAGAAAAUAUUCAGNGAUAAAAUAUAUAAAAUAGAGGAAUCAUAGUAGAUUCUAGUAGGCUCCAGUAAUAAUUAAAAUCUAAACAUUUAAAAAUAUUGAACACAAAAAAAGGUAUUUCAAUUGUCAGAUUAUUAUGUUCACUCUGUAUAUUAUAUUCCUCAAUUAUAGCUCAAUACCAUGGCGACUACGAAUGAUAAGGUGAACUGGACGUGGCCUAAUGAAGUAACUGAUACGUCAAAAAAUUCAUACAAUUUAGCCACAUUACAGAACAAAUUGAAGACCCAUUAUAAUUACCAAAGUAUCGUGCAAUACGAAAAUAUCGCGGCCGACGUGAUAUUAUACGUCGCGUUAAAAGAAGGGAUCAAAGUAUUGAAAGCAAUAAAACUUUAUAUUAAGUACUGUAUAUCAGAUAAUGAGAAUUUAAUUUUUAAUUCGCAAUUAAUUACUAAUAGGACAUUAUUGUUAACAUUCAAAUAUCACUUUGACGCUUUGAUCGAUACGAUAUUGCGUAAAAGACGUAUCAAUUUAAAGAAGAAUGCCAGUUUAAUAGAGUUUAAAGAGAUAGUAACAUAUUUAUUAAAAUUAAUGGAUCCUUUGUUUAUCAAAGUUGGUACCGAAAAUGAUGAAGAUAGGAAGGUCGAAUCAUUCUUAGACAAAAUAGGUACAAUAGAUGAAAAUGUUUCAAUUGCUUCUGAGAUUGAUGGAUUUGGAAAUCUAAGAGAAUUCUAUAUGAUUAAUCCUAUAUUAAAUAUUCGUAGAUUAAACCAUUUUGUAAGUUACGAGUGUAAUGCUACUCAUAAAUAAAACGUAUCGGUAAAAUAUAACCAACAAUAUUAUA
Molecule: long non-coding RNA, 8296 nt
Filed under: Cinara cedri
Lineage: Eukaryota; Metazoa; Arthropoda; Insecta; Hemiptera; Aphididae
Source: RNAcentral